Long non-coding RNA from Homalodisca vitripennis (glassy-winged sharpshooter), 980 nucleotides. RefSeq lists it as uncharacterized. The record is from RefSeq and is a predicted model, not a curated record. Lineage: Eukaryota; Metazoa; Arthropoda; Insecta; Hemiptera; Cicadellidae. The transcript has 3 exons.
UUCAUUUAAUAACGUGUUUCUAACAUAAUAAUUUGUCGCUUCUAGCAAAUCAAGAAACAGUGUAAUACAAAAUGUGCAGUAACCUAUUUCGGAGACGUAAAUCAGUCAGAUUGUCAAGGGUGGAACGACGUUUUUUUUAACAAAGCAUACAGGCGUCUUUUGUAUAAAAAUCAAUUUUUACAUUUUCGAAAUGUUGUUGUAGUGGCUCAAUAUGACAUGGACUUAUAUGUGCAUUGCUGUCUCCCAGUGAGAGGUUACAACAGUUUAACAGUUAGUGAAAGUUAACCCACUCGUCAACUGAAAUCUGGAAUUCUCACUAAAUCUUCAAAUCUGAGUCUCUGCAAAAUAACCUGAAGGUCCGCUUGGUACCUCUCCAAAUGGUUCGGCAAGUAGUUGACCUAGACACUCAACGAUUGGAAGCGCAAGAAAACGACACGUCGUUGCCUUGAGGUAAACAAGUGAGUAGACUCAAACCUCAGAUGAUAACAUCAAGAACAACUCGCGGGAAGCAGAGAAUCACGGUAGAGAUUACUUUGUGCUACGGCUAUAUCCUAUUGAAUAGACUCAGACCUCAGAUGAUAACAUCAAGAACAACUCGCGGGAAGCAGAGAAUCACGGUAGAGCUUACUUUGUGCUUCGGCUAUAUCCUAUUGAAUAGACUCAGACCUCAGAUGAUAACAUCAAGAACAACUCGCGGGAAGCAGAGAUACACGGUAGAGCUUACUUUGUGCUACGGUUAUAUCCUUUGUGAAUUCUUUAUAUAAUCAGUUUCUCACUUGAGCUCAUUCUUCUUGUCUCCUGUAUAAAAUGCAAUACAACAGCAUUAUUUGCAAUAAUAUAAAUGUUUAUUAAAAUGCGCUAAUUACUUACAUCAAUUUUAGUUUCUUGAAAGUUGUGCUGCUUAAAUAGUAUGUAACGCUUUCUCGAUUAAAUGUCUUAUAUUGUUUGUUGUAUAGAUCGUAUAUUUUCGUACGCUUGUA